This 243-nucleotide unclassified non-coding RNA is filed under the name Pleosporormiella terricola. RNAcentral's name for it is "Preussia terricola partial internal transcribed spacer region". The stretch from base 1 to 46 matches the Rfam family "Eukaryotic small subunit ribosomal RNA", at positions 1786 to 1831 of the family's 1831-position model. The record is from RNAcentral. Lineage: Eukaryota; Fungi; Ascomycota; Dothideomycetes; Pleosporales; Sporormiaceae.
AAGUCGUAACAAGGUUUCCGUAGGUGAACCUGCGGAAGGAUCAUUAUCGUGGGGCUCCGGCCCCGUCGAGAAAACACCCUUGCCUUUAUGAGUACCUUGGUUCCCUCCCCCGACCUCCGGGGAGCGGGAGGGACCUCGUCUGUUUCCCCGCGAGGGGACCGCAAAACACGCUGUAAUCACCUGUAACCGUCUGAUAAAACAAACAAAAAAUCAAAACUUUCAACAACGGAUCUCUUGGUUCUG